This 97-nucleotide transfer RNA is filed under the name Aureobasidium pullulans. RNAcentral describes it as "tRNA-Ser". It matches the Rfam family "tRNA". Rfam says of the family: Transfer RNA (tRNA) molecules are approximately 80 nucleotides in length. Their secondary structure includes four short double-helical elements and three loops (D, anti-codon, and T loops). Further hydrogen bonds mediate the characteristic L-shaped molecular structure. tRNAs have two regions of fundamental functional importance: the anti-codon, which is responsible for specific mRNA codon recognition, and the 3' end, to which the tRNAs corresponding amino acid is attached (by aminoacyl-tRNA synthetases). tRNAs cope with the degeneracy of the genetic code in two manners: having more than one tRNA (with a specific anti-codon) for a particular amino acid; and 'wobble' base-pairing, i.e. permitting non-standard base-pairing at the 3rd anti-codon position. RNAcentral also lists the same sequence under 1 other name. Lineage: Eukaryota; Fungi; Ascomycota; Dothideomycetes; Dothideales; Saccotheciaceae. The record is from RNAcentral.
UCCGCUGUGGCCGAGUGGUUAAGGCGUCAGACUUGAACUUCUUCUAGAACGAUAUCUGAUUCUUUCGAGAGCACAGGUUCGAACCCUGUCGGCGGAG